AGAGUUUGAUCAUGGCUCAGAGCGAACGCUGGCGGCAGGCUUAACACAUGCAAGUCGAGCGGGCCCUUCGGGGUCAGCGGCGGACGGGUGAGUAACGCGUGGGAACGUGCCUUCUGGUUCGGAAUAACCCUGGAAACUAGGGCUAAUACCGGAUACGCCCUUUUUGGGGAAAGGUUUACUGCCGGAAGAUCGGCCCGCGUCUGAUUAGCUAGUUGGUGGGGUAACGGCCUACCAAGGCGACGAUCAGUAGCUGGUCUGAGAGGAUGAUCAGCCACACUGGGACUGAGACACGGCCCAGACUCCUACGGGAGGCAGCAGUGGGGAAUAUUGGACAAUGGGCGCAAGCCUGAUCCAGCCAUGCCGCGUGAGUGAUGAAGGCCUUAGGGUUGUAAAGCUCUUUUAUCCGGGACGAUAAUGACGGUACCGGAGGAAUAAGCCUCGGCUAACUUCGUGCCAGCAGCCGCGGUAAUACGAAGGGGGCUAGCGUUGCUCGGAAUCACUGGGCGUAAAGGGCGCGUAGGCGGCGUUUUAAGUCGGGGGUGAAAGCCUGUGGCUCAACCACAGAAUGGCCUUCGAUACUGGGACGCUUGAGUAUGGUAGAGGUUGGUGGAACUGCGAGUGUAGAGGUGAAAUUCGUAGAUAUUCGCAAGAACACCGGUGGCGAAGGCGGCCAACUGGACCAUUACUGACGCUGAGGCGCGAAAGCGUGGGGAGCAAACAGGAUUAGAUACCCCGGUAGUCC
Molecule: ribosomal RNA, 742 nt
Filed under: uncultured bacterium
Lineage: Bacteria
Description: bacterial SSU rRNA
Rfam family: Bacterial small subunit ribosomal RNA
Source: RNAcentral